This 253-nucleotide ribosomal RNA is filed under the name uncultured prokaryote. RNAcentral's name for it is "partial 16S ribosomal RNA". It matches the Rfam family "Bacterial small subunit ribosomal RNA", at positions 524 to 776 of the family's 1533-position model. The record is from RNAcentral.
UACAGAGGGUGCAAGCGUUAUUCGGAAUUAUUGGGCAUAAAGCGCAUGUAGGUGGUUUAGUAAGUCUGAUGUGAAAUCCCCGGACUCAAUCCGGGAAGUGCAUUGGAUACUACUAGACUAGAGUAUGGGAGAGGUGAGCGGAAUUCCAGGUGUAGAGGUGAAAUUCGUAGAUAUCUGGAGGAACAACAGAGGCGAAGGCGGCUCACUGGACCAUUACUGACACUGAGAUGCGAAAGCGUGGGGAGCAAACAGG